Non-coding RNA from Schizosaccharomyces pombe (fission yeast), 363 nucleotides. The record is from the annotation of a GenBank genome assembly. NCBI's taxonomy places the organism in Eukaryota, Fungi, Ascomycota, Schizosaccharomycetes, Schizosaccharomycetales, Schizosaccharomycetaceae.
GAAAUACAAUUUGGUAAAACAUCAAUAACACCACAGCCCGGAUUAGUUGCAGUAACUCGAUAAGGAAAAAGAUAAACGUCUAAUCCAACAGAGUUAAAAAUAUUUUUGAACAUUGCAAUUAAUUGGAGUGUUAAGACAUCUUGUCUGCAAUCAUCACCAACCUUGAAGAUGGCCGAUUGCCAAACUUCAUAAGUUUGUUUCUUAGCCGAAUCGCCGGCUUCUUCUUCUGUACCAUUCACCGCCAAUUCCUCAGGGUCAGCAUCAACCAACUUUUCUUUGCGUAUUUUAAAUGUUGCCAUGAAAGGAGCUUUAGCAUGACUUUGAAGAGGCUUUCCCGACUUUCUAUCUAUUCCUACGAUUACA